RNAcentral lists this ribosomal RNA (462 nucleotides) under uncultured bacterium. RNAcentral describes it as "partial 16S ribosomal RNA". It matches the Rfam family "Bacterial small subunit ribosomal RNA", at positions 338 to 795 of the family's 1533-position model. The record is from RNAcentral.
CCUACGGGGGGCAGCAGUGAGGAAUAUUGGUCAAUGGCCGGAAGGCUGAACCAGCCAAGCCGCGUGAAGGACGACGGUGCCAAGCAUUGUAAACUUCUUUUGUCAAGGGACAAAAUCAGGCUCGAGAGCCUGACCGAGGGUACUUGAAGAAAAAGCAUCGGCUAACUCCGUGCCAGCAGCCGCGGUAAUACGGAGGAUGCGAGCAUUAUCCGGAGUGACUGGGUGUAAAGAGUUGCGUAGGUGGCAUAAUAAGUAGCUAGUGAAAUCUGGUGGCGCAACCAUUCAGACUAUUGGCUAAACGGUUAAGCUCGAGACCGUGAGGGGUAACUGGAAUGUCUGGUGUAGGAGUGAAAUGCGUAGAUAUUAGAAAGAACACCAAUCGCGUAGGCAGGUUACUGGGACGGUUCUGACACUAAGGCACGAAAGCGUAGGGAGCAAACGGGAUUAGAUACCCCUGUAGUC